GACGAACGCUGGCGGCGUGCUUAACACAUGCAAGUCGAACGGUGAAGCUCCAGCUUGCUGGAGUGGAUCAGUGGCGAACGGGUGAGUAACACGUGAGCAACCUGCCCCUGACUCUGGAAUAAGCGCUGGAAACGGCGUCUAAUACUGGAUACGAGAAGGGUCCGCAUGGGCACUUUCUGGAAAGUUUUUCGGUUGGGGUUGGGCUCGCGGCCUAUCAGCUUGUUGGUGAGGUAAUGGCUCACCAAGGCGACGACGGGUAGCCGGCCUGAGAGGGCGACCGGCCACACUGGGACUGAGACACGGCCCAGACUCCUACGGGAGGCAGCAGUGGGGAAUAUUGCACAAUGGGCGAAAGCCUGAUGCAGCGACGCCGCGUGAGGGAUGACGGCCUUCGGGUUGUAAACCUCUUUCAGCAGGGAAGAAGCGAAAGUGACGGUACCUGCAGAAGAAGCACCGGCUAACUACGUG
RNAcentral lists this ribosomal RNA (468 nucleotides) under uncultured bacterium. Its description in RNAcentral is "partial 16S ribosomal RNA". It matches the Rfam family "Bacterial small subunit ribosomal RNA", at positions 28 to 507 of the family's 1533-position model. The record is from RNAcentral.